UCAAAGCAGCAAUGCGUUUGAGGAGGGGGUCGCGGCUGAUUAGCUAGUUGGUGAGGUAACGGCUCACCAAGGCGAUGAUCAGUAGCCGGCCUGAGAGGGCGCACGGCCACACUGGAACUGAAACACGGCCCAGACUCCUACGGGAGGCAGCAGUGGGGAAUUUUGCGCAAUGGGGGAAACCCUGACGCAGCAACGCCGCGUGGAGGAUGAAGUCCCUUGGGACGUAAACUCCGUUCGAUCGGGACGAUUAUGACGGUACCGGAAGAAGAAGCCCCGGCUAACUUCGUGCCAGCAGCCGCGGUAAUACGAGGGGGGCAAGCGCUGUUCGGAAUUAUUGGGCGUAAAGGGCGCGUAGGCGGUGCGGUAAGUCUGAUGUGAAAUCUCCGGGCUCAACUCGGA
This 399-nucleotide ribosomal RNA is filed under the name uncultured bacterium. RNAcentral's name for it is "bacterial SSU rRNA". It matches the Rfam family "Bacterial small subunit ribosomal RNA", at positions 201 to 618 of the family's 1533-position model. The record is from RNAcentral.